Molecule: ribosomal RNA, 465 nt
Filed under: Vreelandella stevensii
Lineage: Bacteria; Pseudomonadati; Pseudomonadota; Gammaproteobacteria; Oceanospirillales; Halomonadaceae
Description: partial 16S ribosomal RNA
Rfam family: Bacterial small subunit ribosomal RNA
Source: RNAcentral
CCUACGGGAGGCUGCAGUGGGGAAUAUUGGACAAUGGGGGCAACCCUGAUCCAGCCAUGCCGCGUGUGUGAAGAAGGCCCUCGGGUUGUAAAGCACUUUCAGUGAGGAAGAACGCCUGGUGGUUAAUACCCAUCAGGAAAGACAUCACUCACAGAAGAAGCACCGGCUAACUCCGUGCCAGCAGCCGCGGUAAUACGGAGGGUGCGAGCGUUAAUCGGAAUUACUGGGCGUAAAGCGCGCGUAGGUGGCUUGAUAAGCCGGUUGUGAAAGCCCCGGGCUCAACCUGGGAACGGCAUCCGGAACUGUCAAGCUAGAGUGCAGGAGAGGAAGGUAGAAUUCCCGGUGUAGCGGUGAAAUGCGUAGAGAUCGGGAGGAAUACCAGUGGCGAAGGCGGCCUUCUGGGCUGACACUGACACUGAGGUGCGAAAGCGUGGGUAGCAAACAGGAUUAGAUACCCCUGUAGUC